Molecule: transfer RNA, 66 nt
Filed under: Panopea generosa
Lineage: Eukaryota; Metazoa; Mollusca; Bivalvia; Adapedonta; Hiatellidae
Description: tRNA-Thr
Source: RNAcentral
GGCUUAAUAGUUUAAAUGAAUAGGGGCCUUGUAAGUCUAAGGGAUAGCAGUAUGUUAUUUAGGCCU